RNAcentral lists this ribosomal RNA (500 nucleotides) under uncultured bacterium. RNAcentral's name for it is "bacterial SSU rRNA". It matches the Rfam family "Bacterial small subunit ribosomal RNA", at positions 9 to 504 of the family's 1533-position model. The record is from RNAcentral.
GAGUUUGAUCAUGGCUCAGAUUGAACGCUGGCGGCAGGCCUAACACAUGCAAGUCGAGCGGUAGAGAGAAGCUUGCUUCUCUUGAGAGCGGCGGACGGGUGAGUAAUGCCUAGGAAUCUGCCUGGUAGUGGGGGAUAACGCUCGGAAACGGACGCUAAUACCGCAUACGUCCUACGGGAGAAAGCAGGGGACCUUCGGGCCUUGCGCUAUCAGAUGAGCCUAGGUCGGAUUAGCUAGUUGGUGAGGUAAUGGCUCACCAAGGCGACGAUCCGUAACUGGUCUGAGAGGAUGAUCAGUCACACUGGAACUGAGACACGGUCCAGACUCCUACGGGAGGCAGCAGUGGGGAAUAUUGGACAAUGGGCGAAAGCCUGAUCCAGCCAUGCCGCGUGUGUGAAGAAGGUCUUCGGAUUGUAAAGCACUUUAAGUUGGGAGGAAGGGCAGUAAAUUAAUACUUUGUCUGUUUUGACGUUACGACAGAAUAAGCACCGGCUAACUCU